CCGGGAUCGGCUCCGCCGUAGCACGAUAUUGUCCGCUUUGGGCCCCCCUCUCUGCCCUCACGGUUUUGUUUCUGGGAGCUCACGAGCAACUUCCCAGUGGGUCACCCAUCCUGGGAUUGCUCUAGCCCCCAACUCGCUUAACUUCGGAGGAUGGGAUUGCUCUAGCCCCCAACUCGCUUAACUUCGGAGUUCCUACGACUCCGAAGCCAGUGAGCUCCCAAAAGGCCUCGUGCUAGAUGGAUGCGGGUGCGCACAUAUAAGGC
This 263-nucleotide long non-coding RNA is filed under the name Prunus persica (peach). RNAcentral's name for it is "long non-coding RNA (PPER_LNC005156)". The record is from RNAcentral. Lineage: Eukaryota; Viridiplantae; Streptophyta; Magnoliopsida; Rosales; Rosaceae.